ACGGGUGAGUAAUACAUCGGAACGUAUCCUGGAGUGGGGGAUAGCCCGGCGAAAGCCGGAUUAAUACCGCAUACGCUCUGUGGAGGAAAGCGGGGGACCUUCGGGCCUCGCGCUCAAGGGGCGGCCGAUGGCGGAUUAGGUAGUUGGUGGGGUAAAGGCCUACCAAGCCGACGAUCCGUAGCUGGUCUGAGAGGACGACCAGCCACACUGGGACUGAGACACGGCCCAGACUCCUACGGGAGGCAGCAGUGGGGAAUUUUGGACAAUGGGGGCAACCCUGAUCCAGCAAUGCCGCGUGUGUGAAGAAGGCCUUCGGGUUGUAAAGCACUUUUGUCCGGAAAGAAAUCAUCGGGCCAAUACCCCUGGUGGAUGACGGUACCGGAAGAAUAAGCACCGGCUAACUACGUGCCAGCAGCCGCGGUAAUACGUAGGGUGCGAGCGUUAAUCGGAAUUACUGGGCGUAAAGCGUGCGCAGGCGGUGCUGUAAGACCGAUGUGAAAUCCCCGGGCUUAACCUGGGAACUGCAUUGGUGACUGCAGCGCCGGAGUAUGGCAGAGGGGGGUGGAAUUCCACGU
Molecule: ribosomal RNA, 575 nt
Filed under: uncultured bacterium
Lineage: Bacteria
Description: bacterial SSU rRNA
Rfam family: Bacterial small subunit ribosomal RNA
Source: RNAcentral